Molecule: transfer RNA, 84 nt
Filed under: Candidatus Woesearchaeota archaeon
Lineage: Archaea; Nanobdellati; Candidatus Woesearchaeota
Description: tRNA-Ser
Rfam family: tRNA
About the family: Transfer RNA (tRNA) molecules are approximately 80 nucleotides in length. Their secondary structure includes four short double-helical elements and three loops (D, anti-codon, and T loops).
Source: RNAcentral
GCCAACGUGGGACAAUCUGGUACUCCGCAAGCCUGGAAAGCUUGUUGGCUUCGGCCUUUCCCGGUUCAAAUCCGGGCGUUGGCG